RNAcentral lists this small nuclear RNA (23 nucleotides) under Arabidopsis thaliana (thale cress). RNAcentral's name for it is "snRNA_15059". Lineage: Eukaryota; Viridiplantae; Streptophyta; Magnoliopsida; Brassicales; Brassicaceae. The record is from RNAcentral.
GAAACUCAUUAAAAACUGCCGAU